CGCUGCUCUGGAUCCGGCGUUGCUGUGAUCGUUUACUGCUGUGUAAUCUGUGACCUUGGGCCAAAGAAGUAACCUGCGGGAGAGUCAGGCAUCUGUGUCCUUCAAGGAUGUGACUGUGGAGUUUACCCAGGAGGAGUGGCGGCAGAUGAGCCCUGCUCGGAGGACCCUGUACAGAGAUGUGAUGCUGGAGAACUACAGCCACCUUGUGUCUUCGGAAUCCUGAUUCAAGAAGGAAAUAAGAGCAACAGCAGGAAAAGGCUUGUACCCUCUACCUGAACUCUGGCUUCUGUUGCACUGUGAGACUAUCCAUGAACUUGACCACAGUAAGAGCUUCGCCUUUGAUUUGUCCAGAUUUAAGGGCUAAUCACCAAGAAGUAAUGCGCAACAUGUAAAGCUUAGCAGCCUGUGUUUGUAGUCAAGCAGACCUGUUCAAGCCUUGGCUUUGCUAUUAUGGGCUCUGUGACCAUGGAAAACCCCUUAACCUCUCUGUGCUCUGCAAAAU
Molecule: long non-coding RNA, 502 nt
Filed under: Sus scrofa (pig)
Lineage: Eukaryota; Metazoa; Chordata; Mammalia; Artiodactyla; Suidae
Description: lncRNA (ENSSSCG00070008662.1)
Source: RNAcentral